ACUUGCUGCCCUCGCCCGGCCCGGGGCGCCGCUGCCAUGCGGCUGGCGCUGCUCUGGGCCCUGGGGCUCCUGGGCGCGGGCAGCCCUCUGCCUUCCUGGCCGCUCCCAAAUAUAGGUGGCACCGAGGAGCAGCAGGCAGAGUCAGAGAAGGCCCCGAGGGAGCCCUUGGAGCCCCAGGUCCUUCAGGACCUCAAAAAGGUGCUUCAGACCAGUCUGCCUGAGCCCCUGAGGAUCAAGUUGGAGCUGGACGGUGACAGUCAUAUCCUGGAGCUGCUACAGAAUAGAGAGUUGGUCCCAGGCCGUCCAACCCUGGUGUGGUACCAGCCCGAUGGCACUCGGGUGGUCAGUGAGGGACACACUCUGGAGAACUGCUGCUACCAGGGAAGAGUGCAGGGAUAUGCAGGCUCCUGGGUGUCCGUCUGCACCUGCUCUGGGCUCAGGUAUACUGGGCGGAUUUGAUGACAGUAGAGAAAGUAAGGAGACCCAGGCAUGGAGCUGAAAUGUUCUCUGACUUCCUUUCUUUUUUCUUAGAGGCUUGGUG
RNAcentral lists this small RNA (541 nucleotides) under Pongo abelii (Sumatran orangutan). RNAcentral's name for it is "processed transcript". The record is from RNAcentral. Lineage: Eukaryota; Metazoa; Chordata; Mammalia; Primates; Hominidae.